ACAUAUUUAACGGCCGCGGUAUCCUGACCGUGCAAAGGUAGCAUAAUCAUUUGCCUAUUAAUUGUAGGCUAGUAUGAAAGGACAAACGAGGAUAAAGCUGGCUCCUUUAAGUAAAUAAAAAUUUAUCUCCGAGUGAAGAAGCUCAGAUAUCGACGCAGGACAAGAAGACCCUAUAGAGCUUUACCUUCUCAGUAUAAUAUAAAUACUAUACGGUUCGGUUGGGGCGACCGAGGAAUAUCAAUCAUCCUUUAACUAAAAGAUUAACAAAUCGAACUAAUGAUCCUGAAUAUCAGAUCACAGAAUCAAGCUACCUUAGGGAUAACAGGCUAAUUCCUCUAGAGAGUCCAUAUUGACAGAGGAGGUUGGCACCUCGAUGUUGGCUAGGGUUUCUUCGCGACGCAGCAGNCACGACUAGAUGGUUUGUUCAACCAUUAAUUCCCUACAUGAUCUGAGUUCAAACCGG
RNAcentral lists this ribosomal RNA (463 nucleotides) under Tubifex ignotus. Its description in RNAcentral is "partial 16S ribosomal RNA". It matches the Rfam family "Bacterial large subunit ribosomal RNA", at positions 1918 to 2619 of the family's 2925-position model. Lineage: Eukaryota; Metazoa; Annelida; Clitellata; Tubificida; Naididae. The record is from RNAcentral.